Molecule: ribosomal RNA, 253 nt
Filed under: uncultured bacterium
Lineage: Bacteria
Description: partial 16S ribosomal RNA
Rfam family: Bacterial small subunit ribosomal RNA
Source: RNAcentral
GACGGAGGAUGCGAGCGUUGUCCGGAAUCAUUGGGCGUAAAGAGUUCGUAGGCGGUGCAUCAAGUCUGAUGUUAAAGGCAGGGGCUUAACCCUUGUAUGGCGUUGGAAACUGAUGUGCUAGAGGACAGAAGAGGCAAGGGGAAUUCCCAGUGUAGCGGUGAAAUGCGUAGAUAUUGGGAGGAACACCGGUGGCGAAAGCGCCUUGCUGGGCUGUUUCUGACGCUGAGGAACGAAAGCCGGGGGAGCGAAUGGG